GAAAAUUGCACAUUCACUUCAGAGUGAUUGUGAUUUGAAAUGAGGCUGUUAAGCAGGGAGAUUGAGAGGUUAUGGGUUGCACCCGUAACGGACUAGCAGAACCGCAGCAGGAUUGAGAGCAGUCGGUUUUUGUGUGUCUGUUAAUGGUAAUUGAGAAAUCCAUACUUACACUGUAAGAGGAAGGAAGCACUGUUUACAUCCUUUAUUGCAGACUAUGGCAGUAGUUCAGUCAUCUUAAUGUGACUGAUGGACAACAAAGACCUCUCUGUUCACAUAAACUGCUUCUUACUAAACUAUGAAUCAGCAACCUUUUUGAUACGAUGUGCAAUUUAAAAACCCAACUGCUUACAGCAAAACUGCUCAACAUACGACUCUUUAGCCAUUUUUUGUGACCAGCAUUAUAGUGUCACGGCUUCAGACAGGCACUCAGUCUGUGCAUUAUUGUUUAGAAUUUUUCAGUCACUCUUUCUUCAGUUACACCAUUUACCAGUAGAUGGCGCAAGUAUUUAAUGGCUCAUUGAAUUAUUUGUUUCAUAAAAAAGUAACAUUUUAAAUAAAAAAAACUGAAAAAAAAAAAAUCACAUUUUUAUCAAAGACUUUGUCCAGAUAUGAUACAGAAUGAUGAUUAAAAUAUAGAUGGAGUAGAUCGAGUCCAUCAACACCCCCAAAGCUUCACAGUCCUUUACCUGUUCGUAGUUUUGACAUUUCAUUCAGUAACGUUAGGCAGUUCUGAUUUAUGUGCUGUUGAAUAUUUGAUGAUCACAUUAGCUUACUUGUACAUUAACCACUUCUAUCAGCUCCUUCUGGGAUGUGUUUAACUCCACUUUUUUACACAUACACAAACUUCCCUAAGCCUUUCCUCUUGAGGGAAUCCCCGCUGCCAUUUUGAAGUGUAUUCAACCUUGUCAAGUGGGUGAGGGAAGUUUAUUUAGACAGACCUUCGACCCCUCGAUUCUGACCAAUGGAGUGAGUCUACUCAAUAGUUUGGUGCAGGUAUGACAUCACUUUGUAGACCAAAAUGCGGAAGUGAGUUAGCAUUUUAGCACUUCCGGUUCCAUCGCCCCGAAGUCAAUGGGUUUUUUGGCUGAAAUAAGAUCUGUGGUGAACGCAAGCUCAAGACAGUUUUGCGUUUUAUUCUACGACAUAAAAUGCAUCAGUAUUACCCCACUUGUGAUUUUUUUUAAGCUGUUAUGUGUCUUGAAAUAGGCGGUUGCUAACAAGUGGCUAAAUGGGACUACACAGGCAGUCAGGGACAUUAAACGCCAUCACGGCGAAAAGGGAUUGGGUGACACUGUAGGCAUGAGCUCCAUGAAUGCAGUUGAGAAACACUGGCUUUUAUACUCUUGGAAAAACCUCAGAAGAAAGAAAGCAUGGAACAACAAAGUAAAAGUUCUGGAAAGUUUGGAAUGACAUAAAGGCCCUCUACAGUUUGUUUCUGGUUUAACACACACCCUUCCUCCAUCUUCAUCCAUCCAUCUCCUCUUCCCUCGCUUCCUCGCUGCUUGUGUCCAGAGAAAGGAACGUUCACCGACACAUCUCACACCCGUAGCGCUGCAGGCAGUUUCUCUCUCUCUCUCUCUCUCUCUGGGCAGAAAAGUCCUGCCUGUGUAAAGGAGGUUCCGUUGGGAGCGCAGGCUUUGGACGCAGGCCCAGAUCAAUGUGACCUAAAUUCAAAUGCGAAUUAGAAGGCUGUCAGUGGGAAAGGACACUCUGCAAAUGAGCUCAGACAGUACGGGGCCCCUCGGGGGCAAGCCGAACCUGGGCCUCGCCCCGCCUCGCCGUUUUAAUAAGUUCCAAAUGGGCGACCUGGCUGCAGCGUUUCUGAUCGGCUCGCCGCCCCUCCACCUCUAUCUCGGAGGCUGCUCGCCGCCUUCGCACCCAGAGCACGAGAGCGGUGGGGCCUCGGCAGGGUCCACUGACUACAGGCUUACCGACACACCUGGAGGAACCUGCCCAAGGUCACUGGAGAAAUUUCAGCGAGAGAGGAAAUACCAGAGCUUUCUAAUGGGAUUCUCUUCACACCUGGGCCUGACUCCUUAGGAUAGGAUUAAGGGCCACACAGCGGGGCCCCGUGAGGAAGGGCCAACACAGAGGGGUUGGCGUUAUUGGGAAGCAUUCACUCCCUGCCUCCAUUUCCUGUCCUGUCUAAUCGCUUCCAGGAGGCGUUUUACGCCGAGGUUGUCUUCGAAUGAAACGAAGGCCGUCUAAAAAAGAAAAAAUGCAUACCAAAACAAAACAAGGGAUGUUAUUCUUCAUUCAACACAAGCAGGGUUCCCGGGACGCGAGCUCUCUAGGAUGUUGCAGGAGUGAUGGGGCUUUCUCCAGCUCGCCUUUUAGCCGCUAGGAUCGAGUUUCCCGCCAAGGGUGGUGUGACAGCGCUUCUCCCCCAGCAGAGCUCACAACCACAUCCAGCGACACUUCGUUUCGGUGACCCGGUCACACUCUCCACACGCCCCUCUCGCUUCAGGGCCACACAAGGUCUGAUUGGCAACGGAAAUGAUAAUAUUUCUUCAGCUGAUACCGCGAGCGGUUUCAAAAUGAAGCGAUCGUGGUGAGAGAAUGAGGUGUGGUUUUGGGUAGAGGUGAUGACAGGAAAGAGGAACUAACUGAGAAGAAACGUUGCUGUGGUCACACGCAGUUAUAAGCCUUGUAAUUAAAGUGAGAUUUUCUCUUCUAUAACGACACAUAUAGUGGUACAAACUGAUUUGGUUUGAACCGUUAGUCUGACAGGUGAUUUUUGCCUUCACCUAGGCUGUGAAAGACAUGCAUCUUUAAAGCAGUAUUCAUCGAGAGCCAUCCGGUAACACUUGUCAUACUCAAUGACAGGUGAAGGAAAAGCAAGUAACAAGUGUUGUCUCACUUCAUAACCAAAUGCACAUCAACUGAAUCAAACGACGUCAAUUCCUCUUACGUUAGAUCACCGUAUGACCCAUCGUUGUCACCAUGAGAUCUUUCCCAUUCCUGCUCUUUGCUAGUAGCCCUAACAUACAUUUAAACGUAUCUCACGAUCAAAACCAAGAUUGGCUUUGACAAGAAUGAUGGAUCACUUCUCAAUAACGCACACCUGCAGAGGCCAUUUGCUUGUGCCACACUGUAACACAAUCGUCAAAUCCGGGAGGGAACCGCAACCAACAGCGGGAGAUACUCCUAAAUAAGUUCUCCUUCAGACGAGAGCGACCAUAGCGCAACACAUGGUUUUGAUGGGCCGAUGUGAUAUUUCCAGAGCUCCUUCAAUGAUCAUGGCUUCCCUGGCUAGAGGUGAACUUUUGCACGGGUGAUUUAUACACCUUGUGAACUGUGCAGAGUUUGUGGAAGGCUCCUAUGUCAUCGUAGCCUGAGGCCUCAGGCACUUCCUGUUUAAGAUGACUUACAGUUCUCUGUCAGUCCUCUGGGCCUGUUUUAUUGCUGCCCAGCCCCUCGCAGAAGCAACGGCAGGUCUGCACUGUCACUAUGACAUCAUAAGGACAAAGGAAGUGUGGUCAUUUCUUACUUGUCAGAGUAGCUGAUACACAGAUGGGCUGUACUUGAGGAGUGACAUCAUGGCAUUGAGUUCUCUGACUCACUCACAUACCUGGAAAGGAACUAUUUCUUAUAGAUAUUAAAGGGUUAGUUCACCCAAAAAUGAAAAUUCUGUCAUCAUUUAUUCACCCUCAUGUCGAU
This is a long non-coding RNA of Ctenopharyngodon idella (grass carp), 3660 nucleotides long. RefSeq lists it as uncharacterized. NCBI's taxonomy places the organism in Eukaryota, Metazoa, Chordata, Actinopteri, Cypriniformes, Xenocyprididae. The record is from RefSeq and is a predicted model, not a curated record. The transcript is spliced from 7 exons.